CCCGACUGCUAUUUGGGUGAGGAUAAGCCAUGCGAGUCGAAUGGGAGACCUAAAUUUCCCAUGGCGAACUGCUCAGUAACACAUGAUCAACUUACCCUAUAGAGAAAAAUAACCUCGGGAAACUGAGGAUAAUGUUUCAUAGUUGAAAAGGCUUGGAAAAGUUUUUCAAUGAAAGGGAUAAGGAAAAUGGUUCUUAUCUGCUAUAGGAUAGGAUCGUGGUCGAUUAUGGUUGUUGGUGAGGUAACGGCUCACCAAGCCGAUAAUCGAUAGGGGCCGUGAGAGCGGGAGCCCCGAGAUGGGUACUGAGACAACGACCCAGGCCUUACGAGGCGCAGCAGGCGCGGAACCUCCGCAAUACACGAAAGUGUGACGGGGUUACCCAAAGUGUUCAAUUUGAACUGUGGUAGGUGAGUAAUGUCCCCUACUAGAAAGGAGAGGGCAAGGCUGGUGCCAGCCGCCGCGGUAAAACCAGCUCUUCAAGUGGUCGGGAUAAUAUUGGGCUUAAAGUGUCCGUAGCUUGUAUAAUAAGUUCCUGGUAAAAUCUAAUAGCUUAACUAUUAGUAUGCUAGGAAUACUGUUAUACUAGAGGGCGGGAGAGGUUUGAGGUACUUCAGGGGUAGGGGUGAAAUCCUAUAAUCCUUGAAGGACCACCAGUGGCGAAGGCGUCAGACUGGAACGCGCCUGACAGUGAGGGACGAAAGCCAGGGGAGCGAACCGGAUUAGAUACCCGGGUAGUCCUGGCCGUAAACGAUGCACACUAGGUGUUGGUAUGGCUAUGAGCCAUAUCAGUGCCGAAGGGAAACCAUUAAGUGUGCCGCCUGGGAAGUACGGUCGCAAGGCUAAAACUUAAAGGAAUUGGCGGGGGAGCACCACAAGGGGUGAAGCCUGCGGUUCA
Molecule: ribosomal RNA, 895 nt
Filed under: uncultured archaeon
Lineage: Archaea
Description: bacterial SSU rRNA
Rfam family: Archaeal small subunit ribosomal RNA
Source: RNAcentral